UAACAAGGAUUCCCCUAGUAACGGCGAGUGAAGAGGGAAGAGCCCAAGAUUGAAAGCUGGCGUCUUCGGCGUCCGCAUUGUAAUCUCAAGAAGUGUUUUCCGCUUCGGACCAAGCCUAAGUCCCUUGGAAAAGGGCAUCAUAGAGGGUGAUAAUCCCGUACAUGGCUUGGAGCGCCCGAAGCUUUGUGAUACGCUUUCUAAGAGUCGAGUUGUUUGGGAAUGCAGCUCAAAAUGGGUGGUAAAUUCCAUCUAAGGCUAAAUAUUGGGGAGAGACCGAUAGCGAACAAGUACAGUGAUGGAAAGAUGAAAAGAACUUUGAAAAGAGAGUUAAACAGUACGUGAAAUUGCCAAAAGGGAAGGGUAGGAGGUCAGAGAUGCGGCCUGGGAUUCAGCCUUGCUUUUGCUUGGUGUUUUUCCCAGAUUGCAGGCCAACGUCGGUUUUGGGCACUGGAGAAGGGUAGGAGGAACGUGGCACCUCUCGGGGUGUGUUAUAGCCUCCUACUGGAUACAGCGACCGAGACCGAGGACAGCAGCGUACUCGCAAGAGCGGGCCUUCGGGCACCUUUACGCUUAGGGCGUU
Molecule: ribosomal RNA, 580 nt
Filed under: Moesziomyces rugulosus
Lineage: Eukaryota; Fungi; Basidiomycota; Ustilaginomycetes; Ustilaginales; Ustilaginaceae
Description: LSU rRNA
Rfam family: Eukaryotic large subunit ribosomal RNA
Source: RNAcentral